Molecule: ribosomal RNA, 502 nt
Filed under: uncultured soil bacterium
Lineage: Bacteria
Description: bacterial SSU rRNA
Rfam family: Bacterial small subunit ribosomal RNA
Source: RNAcentral
AGAUUGAACGCUGGCGGCAGGCCUAACACAUGCAAGUCGAGCGGUAGAGAGGUGCUUGCACCUCUUGAGAGCGGCGGACGGGUGAGUAAUGCCUAGGAAUCUGCCUAGUGGUGGGGGAUAACGUUCGGAAACGGACGCUAAUACCGCAUACGUCCUACGGGAGAAAGGCGGGGGACCUUCGGGCCUCGCGCCAUUAGAUGAGCCUAGGUCGGAUUAGCUAGUUGGUGAGGUAAUGGCUCACCAAGGCGACGAUCCGUAACUGGUCUGAGAGGAUGAUCAGUCACACUGGAACUGAGACACGGUCCAGACUCCGUACGGGAGCAGCAGUGGGGAAUAUUGGACAAGUGGGCAAAGCCUGAUCCAGCCAUGCCGCGUGUGGUAGAAGAAGGUCUUCGGAUUAGUAAAGCUAACGUUUUAAGUUGGGAAGGUAAGGUUUAGUAACGUUAAUACGUUGACGUAACUUUGAACGUUACCGAACAGAAAUAACGACAACCGGCUAACC